This 1291-nucleotide long non-coding RNA is filed under the name Malus domestica (apple). Its description in RNAcentral is "long non-coding RNA (MDOM_LNC012450)". Lineage: Eukaryota; Viridiplantae; Streptophyta; Magnoliopsida; Rosales; Rosaceae. The record is from RNAcentral.
CUUAUUGCAAGCCAACAACAACUUCAAUGCAUGGUAUACGAAGAUCAAGCUAUUAAGCCCUCUUGCAUCUGCUUCAGAUAUUUCCUCUCUAUAACAAUGCAAAUACUACAACUCGUAGAACGCUUCACACUCUUGAUCAAGACAAUGUGAAGCAAAAUCAAUUUAUGGUGUUAACCAGAGCUUCAUCAAAUGAGUUCAACCACAGUUCUCAAAAGUUUCACACAUUCUUGAUCAAGACUGUGUGAAGCAAAACCAAUUUAUAGUGCCAACAAGAGCUUCAUCAAUGGAGGGCAACCACAAUUCUCAAAAGCUUCCCACACUUUUGAUCAAGACAGUGUGAAGCAAAACCAAUUUAUAGUGCUAACAAGAACUUCAUCAAUGGAGGGCAACCACAAUUCUCAAAAGCUUCACACACUCUUGAUAAAGACAGUGUAAAGCAAAACCAAUUUAUGGUGCCAACAAAAGCUUCACCAAAGGAGUUCAACCACAAUUCUCAAAAUUUUCACACUCUUGAUCAAGACAGUGUGAAGCAAAACCAAUUUAUGGUGCAAACAAGAGCUUCAUCAAAGGAGGGCAACCACAACUCUCCAAAGCUUCACACACUCUUGAUCAAGACAGUGUGAAGCAAAACCAAUUUAUGAUGCCAACAAGAGCUUCAUCAAUGAAGGGCAACUACAAUUCUCAAAAGCUUCACACACUCUUAAUCAAGACAGUGUGAAACAAAACCAAUUUAUGGUGCCAACAAGAGCUUCAUCAAAGGAGUUCAACCACAAUUCUCAAAAGUUUCACACACUCUUGAUCAAGACAGUGUGAAGCAAAACCAAUUUAUGGUGCCAACAAGAGCUUCAUCAAUGGAGGGCAACCAUAAUUCUCAAAAGCUUCACACACUCUUGAUCAAGACAGUGUGAAGCAAAACAAAUUUAUGGUGCCAACAAAAGCUUCAUCAAUGGAGGGCAACUACAAUUCUCAAACCUUUGAAGCAAAUUCAAGACUGUUCAAAGCAAAUUUUAUUUAUAUGGUUUAUCCAAACCUUCGACUGCUACAAGGUGUGGCUUGCAUCAGAAUCUCUUGCUCAACAGUGUGGAAGCAAAAUUUGUAUAUGUUGUCUCUCCUACAUUUUCAAAUUUCUAGUUUCCCAAAAAAAAAAAAAAAAAAAAAUUCAACAAAGCUUCAUCAAUGGAGGACAACUACAAAUUCUCAAAAGCUUCACACUAUCUUGAUCAAGAUAGUGUGAAACAAAUCAAUUCGUGGUACCCAACAAAGCUUCACCAACAAAAGCUUCAUCAAUGGA